This 454-nucleotide ribosomal RNA is filed under the name uncultured Anoxybacillus sp. Its description in RNAcentral is "bacterial SSU rRNA". It matches the Rfam family "Bacterial small subunit ribosomal RNA", at positions 925 to 1382 of the family's 1533-position model. The record is from RNAcentral. Lineage: Bacteria; Bacillati; Bacillota; Bacilli; Caryophanales; Anoxybacillaceae.
ACAAGCGGUGGAGCAUGUGGUUAAUUCGAAGCAACGCGAAGAACCUUACCAGGUCUUGACAUCCCUGACAACCCGAGAGAUCGGGCGUUCCCCUUCGGGGGACAGGGUGACAGGUGGUGCAUGGUUGUCGUCAGCUCGUGUCGUGAGAUGUUGGGUUAAGUCCCGCAACGAGCGCAACCCUCGACCUUAGUUGCCAGCAUUCAGUUGGGCACUCUAAGGUGACUGCCGGCUAAAAGUCGGAGGAAGGUGGGAUGACGUCAAAUCAUCAUGCCCCUUAUGACCUGGGCUACACACGUGCUACAAUGGGCGGUACAAAGGGAAGCAAGGCCGCAAGGUAGAGCUAAUCCCUAAAGUCGUCCUCAGUUCGGAUUGCAGGCUGCAACUCGCCUGCAUGAAGUCGGAAUCGCUAGUAAUCGCAGAUCAGCAUGCUGCGGUGAAUACGUUCCCGGGUCUU